Molecule: ribosomal RNA, 854 nt
Filed under: uncultured bacterium
Lineage: Bacteria
Description: bacterial SSU rRNA
Rfam family: Bacterial small subunit ribosomal RNA
Source: RNAcentral
CAUUGGAAACUGGGAGACUUGAGUGCAGAAGAGGAGAGUGGAAUUCCAUGUGUAGCGGUGAAAUGCGUAGAUAUAUGGAGGAACACCAGUGGCGAAGGCGGCUCUCUGGUCUGUAACUGACGCUGAGGCUCGAAAGCGUGGGGAGCAAACAGGAUUAGAUACCCUGGUAGUCCACGCCGUAAACGAUGAGUGCUAAGUGUUGGAGGGUUUCCGCCCUUCAGUGCUGCAGCAAACGCAUUAAGCACUCCGCCUGGGGAGUACGACCGCAAGGUUGAAACUCAAAGGAAUUGACGGGGGCCCGCACAAGCGAUGGAGCAUGUGGUUUAAUUCGAAGCAACGCGAAGAACCUUACCAGGUCUUGACAUCCUUUGACCACUCUAGAGAUAGAGCUUUCCCUUCGGGGACAAAGUGACAGGUGGUGCAUGGUUGUCGUCAGCUCGUGUCGUGAGAUGUUGGGUUAAGUCCCGCAACGAGCGCAACCCUUAUUGUUAGUUGCCAUCAUUCAGUUGGGCACUCUAGCGAGACUGCCGGUGACAAACCGGAGGAAGGUGGGGAUGACGUCAAAUCAUCAUGCCCCUUAUGACCUGGGCUACACACGUGCUACAAUGGGAAGUACAACGAGUCGCUAGGCCGCGAGGUCAUGCAAAUCUCUUAAAGCUUCUCUCAGUUCGGAUUGUAGGCUGCAACUCGCCUACAUGAAGCCGGAAUCGCUAGUAAUCGCGGAUCAGCACGCCGCGGUGAAUACGUUCCCGGGCCUUGUACACACCGCCCGCCACACCACGAGAGUUUGUAACACCCGAAGUCGGUGAGAUAACCUUUUGGAGCCAGCCGCCUAAGGUGGGAUAGAUGAUUGG